Molecule: non-coding RNA, 224 nt
Organism: Paramuricea clavata
Lineage: Eukaryota; Metazoa; Cnidaria; Anthozoa; Malacalcyonacea; Plexauridae
Source: the annotation of a GenBank genome assembly
AUUUCAUAAAGUGUCCACCACUGAUUAAAUGUUGGAGUGGCGUCCUAAGUUUUCUAAAUGAAGGUGGAAAUAAAAGUCCUGCUAUUGGAGGCGGCUCUAAAAAAUGUUCAAUAUUUGGUAUUUAUCACCCACCGCCACUCCCCCCUUCAUUAUUAAUGACCGGUCCCUAACGAUCUGGGCCGAGAUGGCACAGGUUGUUUGCAUUUGUUGUGUUGAAGUCUUGG